UACGGAGGGUGCAAGCGUUAUCCGGAUUCACUGGGUUUAAAGGGUGCGUAGGUGGGCAAGUAAGUCAGUGGUGAAAUCUCCGGGCUUAACCCGGAAACUGCCAUUGAUACUAUUUGUCUUGAAUACUGUGGAGGUCAGCGGAAUAUGUCAUGUAGCGGUGAAAUGCUUAGAUAUGACAUAGAACACCAAUUGCGAAGGCAGCUGGCUACACAAAUAUUGACACUGAGGCACGAAAGCGUGGGUAGCAAACAGG
RNAcentral lists this ribosomal RNA (253 nucleotides) under uncultured bacterium. RNAcentral describes it as "partial 16S ribosomal RNA". It matches the Rfam family "Bacterial small subunit ribosomal RNA", at positions 524 to 776 of the family's 1533-position model. The record is from RNAcentral.